Molecule: ribosomal RNA, 692 nt
Filed under: uncultured Staphylococcus sp.
Lineage: Bacteria; Bacillati; Bacillota; Bacilli; Caryophanales; Staphylococcaceae
Description: bacterial SSU rRNA
Rfam family: Bacterial small subunit ribosomal RNA
Source: RNAcentral
CGAGCGAACAGACGAGGAGCUUGCUCCUCUGACGUUAGCGGCGGACGGGUGAGUAACACGUGGAUAACCUACCUAUAAGACUGGGAUAACUUCGGGAAACCGGAGCUAAUACCGGAUAAUAUAUUGAACCGCAUGGUUCAAUAGUGAAAGACGGUUUUGCUGUCACUUAUAGAUGGAUCCGCGCCGCAUUAGCUAGUUGGUAAGGUAACGGCUUACCAAGGCAACGAUGCGUAGCCGACCUGAGAGGGUGAUCGGCCACACUGGAACUGAGACACGGUCCAGACUCCUACGGGAGGCAGCAGUAGGGAAUCUUCCGCAAUGGGCGAAAGCCUGACGGAGCAACGCCGCGUGAGUGAUGAAGGUCUUCGGAUCGUAAAACUCUGUUAUUAGGGAAGAACAAAUGUGUAAGUAACUAUGCACGUCUUGACGGUACCUAAUCAGAAAGCCACGGCUAACUACGUGCCAGCAGCCGCGGUAAUACGUAGGUGGCAAGCGUUAUCCGGAAUUAUUGGGCGUAAAGCGCGCGUAGGCGGUUUUUUAAGUCUGAUGUGAAAGCCCACGGCUCAACCGUGGAGGGUCAUUGGAAACUGGAAAACUUGAGUGCAGAAGAGGAAAGUGGAAUUCCAUGUGUAGCGGUGAAAUGCGCAGAGAUAUGGAGGAACACCAGUGGCGAAGGCGACUUUCUGGUCUGU